This 51-nucleotide transfer RNA is filed under the name Moschus berezovskii (Chinese forest musk deer). Its description in RNAcentral is "partial tRNA-Pro". Lineage: Eukaryota; Metazoa; Chordata; Mammalia; Artiodactyla; Moschidae. The record is from RNAcentral.
CAGGGAAUAGUUUAAAUAGAACUUCAGCUUUGGGUGUUGAUAGUGAAGCUA